GCUAGUGUGGCUCAGUAGGUAGAGCAGCUCACUCGUAAUGAGCAGGUCGCCCGUUCGAAUCGGGUCACUAGCU
Molecule: transfer RNA, 73 nt
Filed under: Ruminococcus sp.
Lineage: Bacteria; Bacillati; Bacillota; Clostridia; Eubacteriales; Oscillospiraceae
Description: tRNA-Thr
Rfam family: tRNA
About the family: Transfer RNA (tRNA) molecules are approximately 80 nucleotides in length. Their secondary structure includes four short double-helical elements and three loops (D, anti-codon, and T loops). Further hydrogen bonds mediate the characteristic L-shaped molecular structure. tRNAs have two regions of fundamental functional importance: the anti-codon, which is responsible for specific mRNA codon recognition, and the 3' end, to which the tRNAs corresponding amino acid is attached (by aminoacyl-tRNA synthetases). tRNAs cope with the degeneracy of the genetic code in two manners: having more than one tRNA (with a specific anti-codon) for a particular amino acid; and 'wobble' base-pairing, i.e. permitting non-standard base-pairing at the 3rd anti-codon position.
Source: RNAcentral